UGGGGAAUUUUGGACAAUGGGCGAAAGCCUGAUCCAGCAAUGCCGCGUGUGUGAAGAAGGCCUUCGGGUUGUAAAGCACUUUUGUCCGGAAAGAAAUCCUUGGCUCUAAUACAGUCGGGGGAUGACGGUACCGGAAGAAUAAGCACCGGCUAACUACGUGCCAGCAGCCGCGGUAAUACGUAGGGUGCAAGCGUUAAUCGGAAUUACUGGGCGUAAAGCGUGCGCAGGCGGUUUGCUAAGACCGAUGUGAAAUCCCCGGGCUCAACCUGGGAACUGCAUUGGUGACUGGCAGGCUAGAGUAUGGCAGAGGGGGGUAGAAUUCCACGUGUAGCAGUGAAAUGCGUAGAGAUGUGGAGGAAUACCGAUGGCGAAGGCAGCCCCCUGGGCCAAUACUGACGCUCAUGCACGAAAGCGUGGGGAGCAAACAGGAUUAGAUACCCUGGUAGUCCACGCCCUAAACGAUGUCACUAGUUGUUGGGGAUUCAUUUCCUAGUAACGUAGCUAACGCGUGAAGUUGACCGCCUGGGGAGUACGGUCGCAAGAUU
Molecule: ribosomal RNA, 545 nt
Filed under: uncultured bacterium
Lineage: Bacteria
Description: partial 16S ribosomal RNA
Rfam family: Bacterial small subunit ribosomal RNA
Source: RNAcentral